RNAcentral lists this ribosomal RNA (455 nucleotides) under uncultured Sphingobacteriales bacterium. Its description in RNAcentral is "bacterial SSU rRNA". It matches the Rfam family "Bacterial small subunit ribosomal RNA", at positions 924 to 1382 of the family's 1533-position model. The record is from RNAcentral. Lineage: Bacteria; Pseudomonadati; Bacteroidota; Sphingobacteriia; Sphingobacteriales.
CACAAGCGGUGGAGCAUGUGGUUUAAUUCGAUGAUACGCGAGGAACCUUACCUGGGCUCAAAUGUAUGUUGACGUAUUCUGAAAGGGAUACUUCUUCGGACAAUAUACAAGGUGCUGCAUGGUUGUCGUCAGCUCGUGCCGUGAGGUGUCGGGUUAAGUCCCAUAACGAGCGCAACCCUAUCAUUAGUUGCCAUCAGGUCAAGCUGGGGACUCUAAUGAAACUGCCUACGCAAGUAGUGAGGAAGGUGGGGAUGACGUCAAGUCCUCAUGGCCCUUAUGACCAGGGCUACACACGUACUACAAUGGCCGAUACAAAGGGCAGCGACACUGCGAGGUGAAGCCAAUCCCGUAAAAUCGGUCUCAGUCCGGAUUGGAGUCUGCAACUCGACUCCAUGAAGUUGGAAUCGCUAGUAAUCGUGGAUCAGCAUGCCACGGUGAAUACGUUCCCGGGCCUU